CUCAGUAACGGCGAGUGAAGCGGUAACAGCUCAAAUUUGAAAUCUGGGUCUUUCAGGCUCCGAGUUGUAAUUUGUAGAAGAUGCUUUGGGUGCGGCCCCGGUCUAAGUUCCUUGGAACAGGACGUCAUAGAGGGUGAGAAUCCCGUAUGUGAUCGGUGGCUUGCGCCCGUGUAAAGCUCUUUCGACGAGUCGGGUUGUUUGGGAAUGCAGCUCUAAAUGGGUGGUAAAUUUCAUCUAAAGCUAAAUAUUGGCCAGAGACCGAUAGCGCACAAGUAGAGUGAUCGAAAGAUGAAAAGGACUUUGGAAAGAGAGUUAAACAGUACGUGAAAUUGUUGAAAGGGAAGCGCUUGCAACCAGACUUGCGCGGGGUUGAUCAUCCGGGGUUCUCCCCGGUGCACUCGGCCUCGCUCAGGCCAGCAUCGGUUUCGGUGGUUGGAUAAAGGCCUUGGGAAUGUGACUUCUUUCGGGGAGUGUUAUAGCCCUCGGUGCAAUGCAGCCUACCGGGACCGAGGACCGCGCUUCGGCUAGGAUGCUGGCGUAAUGGUUGUAAGCGACCCGUCUUGAAACACGGACCAAGGAGUCUAACAUCUAUGCGAGUGUUUGGGUGUCAAACCCAUACGCGUAAUGAAAGUGAACGGAGGUGAGAACCCUUAAGGGUGCAUCAUCGACCGAUCCUGAUGUCUUCGGAUGGAUUUGAGUAAGAGCAUAGCUGUUGGGACCCGAAAGAUGGUGAACUAUGCCUGAAUAGGGUGAAGCCAGAGGAAACUCUGGUGGAGGCUCGCAGCGGUUCUGACGUGCAAAUCGAUCGUCAAAUUUGGGCAUAGGGGCG
Molecule: ribosomal RNA, 829 nt
Filed under: Pezicula sporulosa
Lineage: Eukaryota; Fungi; Ascomycota; Leotiomycetes; Helotiales; Dermateaceae
Description: eukaryotic LSU rRNA
Rfam family: Eukaryotic large subunit ribosomal RNA
Source: RNAcentral